UAUGUCCUACGGGGGGCAGCAGUGGGGAAUAUUGGGCAAUGGGCGCAAGCCUGACCCAGCAACGCCGCGUGAAGGAAGAAGGCUUUCGGAUUGUAAACUUCUUUUCUCAGGGACGGAGAAAGUGACGGUACCUGAGGAAUAAGCCACGGCUAACUACGUGCCAGCAGCCGCGGUAAUACGUAGGUGGCAAGCGUUAUCCGGAUUUACUGGGUGUAAAGGGCGUGUAGGCGGGACUGCAAGUCAGAUGUGAAAACCACGGGCUCAACCUGUGGCCUGCAUUUGAAACUGUAGUUCUUGAGGACUGG
RNAcentral lists this ribosomal RNA (305 nucleotides) under uncultured bacterium. Its description in RNAcentral is "bacterial SSU rRNA". It matches the Rfam family "Bacterial small subunit ribosomal RNA", at positions 333 to 652 of the family's 1533-position model. The record is from RNAcentral.